UGGGGAAUAUUGGACAAUGGGCGCAAGCCUGAUCCAGCCAUGCCGCGUGAGUGAUGAAGGCCUUCGGGUUGUAAAGCUCUUUAGCAGGGGAAAAUAAUGAUGGUACCCUGAGAAUAAGCCCCGGCUAACUCCGUGCCAGCAGCCGCGGUAAUACGGAGGGGGCUAGCGUUGUUCGGAAUUACUGGGCGUAAAGCGAGCGCAGGCUGUGUAUCAAGUCAGGGGUGAAAUCCCGGAGCUUAACUCCGGAAUUGCCUUUGAAACUGAUACGCUAGAGUCUGGAAGAGGGUGGUGGAAUUCUUAGUGUAGCGGUGAAAUGCGUAGAUAUUAAGAGGAACACCAGUGGCGAAGGCGGCCACCUGGUCCAGUACUGACGCUAUAGCUCGAAAGCGUGGGGAUCAAA
Molecule: ribosomal RNA, 400 nt
Filed under: uncultured bacterium
Lineage: Bacteria
Description: bacterial SSU rRNA
Rfam family: Bacterial small subunit ribosomal RNA
Source: RNAcentral